Molecule: ribosomal RNA, 700 nt
Filed under: uncultured bacterium
Lineage: Bacteria
Description: bacterial SSU rRNA
Rfam family: Bacterial small subunit ribosomal RNA
Source: RNAcentral
AGUGGCGAACGGGUGAGUAAUGCAUCGGAACGUGCCCGGUCGUGGGGGAUAACGCAGCGAAAGCUGCGCUAAUACCGCAUACGAUCUGAGGAUGAAAGCGGGGGACCGUAAGGCCUCGCGCGAUCGGAGCGGCCGAUGUCAGAUUAGGUAGUUGGUGGGGUAAAGGCUCACCAAGCCGACGAUCUGUAGCUGGUCUGAGAGGACGACCAGCCACACUGGGACUGAGACACGGCCCAGACUCCUACGGGAGGCAGCAGUGGGGAAUUUUGGACAAUGGGCGCAAGCCUGAUCCAGCAAUGCCGCGUGCAGGAAGAAGGCCUUCGGGUUGUAAACUGCUUUUGUACGGAGCGAAAAGGUCUUCCCUAAUACGGGAGGCUGAUGACGGUACCGUAAGAAUAAGCACCGGCUAACUACGUGCCAGCAGCCGCGGUAAUACGUAGGGUGCGAGCGUUAAUCGGAAUUACUGGGCGUAAAGCGUGCGCAGGCGGUUUUGUAAGACAGGCGUGAAAUCCCCGGGCUCAACCUGGGAAUGGCGCUUGUGACUGCAAAGCUGGAGUGCGGCAGAGGGGGAUGGAAUUCCGCGUGUAGCAGUGAAAUGCGUAGAUAUGCGGAGGAACACCGAUGGCGAAGGCAAUCCCCUGGGCCUGCACUGACGCUCAUGCACGAAAGCGUGGGGAGCAAGCAGGAUUAGAUACCCUGG